AGCGAACGCUGGCGGCAGGCCUAACACAUGCAAGUCGAACGAACCUUUCGGGGUUAGUGGCGGACGGGUGAGUAACACGUGGGAACGUGCCUUUAGGUUCGGAAUAACUCAGGGAAACUUGUGCUAAUACCGAAUGUGCCCUUCGGGGGAAAGAUUAAUCGCCUUUAGAGCGGCCCGCGUCUGAUUAGCUAGUUGGUUGAGGUAAUGGCUCACCAAGGCGACGAUCAGUAGCUGGUCUGAGAGGAUGAUCAGCCACAUUGGGACUGAGACACGGCCCAAACCCCGGGGGGGGGCGGGGGGGGGGAAUGUUGCGGAAGGGGCGAGAGCCGGACGGGCCAGUGCCGGGGGAAGGAGGAGGGUUUGGGGGUGGAAAAAUUUUUGCCCGGGGGGGGAAAAGGGGGGGCCCGGGAGAAGAGGCCCGGGCUAACUUGGUG
RNAcentral lists this ribosomal RNA (434 nucleotides) under uncultured bacterium. RNAcentral's name for it is "partial 16S ribosomal RNA". It matches the Rfam family "Bacterial small subunit ribosomal RNA", at positions 30 to 507 of the family's 1533-position model. The record is from RNAcentral.